RNAcentral lists this ribosomal RNA (277 nucleotides) under uncultured bacterium. Its description in RNAcentral is "partial 16S ribosomal RNA". It matches the Rfam family "Bacterial small subunit ribosomal RNA", at positions 77 to 353 of the family's 1533-position model. The record is from RNAcentral.
CAAACUGGAGAUGGCGACCGGCGCACGGGUGAGUAACACGUAUCCAACCUGCCGAUAACUCGGGGAUAGCCUUUCGAAAGAAAGAUUAAUACCCGAUGGCAUAAUAGAACCGCAUGGUUUGAUUAUUAAAGAAUUUCGGUUAUCGAUGGGGAUGCGUUCCAUUAGGCAGUUGGUGGGGUAACGGCCCACCAAACCUUCGAUGGAUAGGGGUUCUGAGAGGAAGGUCCCCCACAUUGGAACUGAGACACGGUCCAAACUCCUAACGGGAGGCAGCAUG